This 441-nucleotide ribosomal RNA is filed under the name uncultured bacterium. RNAcentral describes it as "partial 16S ribosomal RNA". It matches the Rfam family "Bacterial small subunit ribosomal RNA", at positions 338 to 795 of the family's 1533-position model. The record is from RNAcentral.
CCUACGGGUGGCAGCAGUGAGGAAUAUUGGUCAAUGGGCGCGAGCCUGAACCAGCCAAGUCGCGUGAGGGAAGACGGUCCUAUGGAUUGUAAACCUCUUUUGUUAGAGAAGAUAAUGACGGUAUCUAACGAAUAAGCACCGGCUAACUCCGUGCCAGCAGCCGCGGUAAUACGGAGGAUUCAAGCGUUAUCCGGAUUUAUUGGGUUUAAAGGGUGCGUCGGCGGUUCGAUAAGUUAGAGGUGAAAUCCCGGGGCUCAACUCCGGCACUGCCUCUGAUACUGUCGGGCUAGAGUUUAGUUGCGGUAGGCGGAAUGUAUGGUGUAGCGGUGAAAUGCAUAGAGAUCAUACAGAACACCGAUUGCGAAGGCAGCUUACCAAACUACGACUGACGUUGAGGCACGAAAGCGUGGGGAGCAAACAGGAUUAGAUACCCGGGUAGUC